CGGGCACCGCUGCCAGCAGCCGGCCCGGGGAAUUUGGGGUUUCCCCGAAUGCCGGAGCGGGCCGAGGAAGCGAGGACGCGGUGCCCGGCCGCGGAGCAGCCCGGCGGGUGCUCGCUUCACCUUCACGGGGCACACCGGGGAGAUGUAGCGGGGCUGACGGAGUGAAGGGCUCGUCAAAAGGACCCACGAUACCGGCGGAGUGGAGAGAGAGAAUCGGGGCAGCACAUGGGAUGGGCAGGAAGGAAGUUUCCGUAUUGGCCAGGCAGGCGUGAGAAGAGAGAGGAAGCAACAAAUUUCCCGGCUUAUUUCGUGUGGGGAUGACGACCAAAUCCUAAACCCUUUUCUCCGGGAAAAGCCUGUUGAAUUUCGGUGUUUCUUCAUAGCCUGGGCUGUGGUUUGGGACUUAGGCACAGGUUGCAAUCCCUCCCAGUUGCAGCGGGCAACAAAUACCUCUGUUUGUUCCUGCUUUGUGAAGAAUGUUUGCUGACCAGAAAAAUGCAAGGGUUGCUGCUUGUUUUGACCUUUUCUUUGGGGCAUGCUUCCUGCUUUUGAGAGUUCUGAAGUCACAAGCUACCUGGUUGUGUCUUUGCAGGAGGCCAGGUUUAAUUGGCAGGAGAAAGUGUGACUUUGUAGCAUGACAGUUCUUUUUUGCUGUCUCCUUGCCAGUGUCCCAUAGCUCUGCAGGUUGCACUUAAUAUUGGAAAGGUUACCCUGAUGCCUGGAAGAUGGUGAGUGCAUGGUGAUUCCUUCCUGGGAAGAUCUUGUUCCAGGGACAUGGGAUACCAGGAUGCCCUGAACCACAUACGGUGGCUGAAAUAUUUUACAGGCUCACUGGCAGUUUCAGAGUGACAAGAGGAUAAAUGAUGCUGAUCUUUCUCCAUACAAUGACACCUUAGAGGGCCUGAGAGAAAGUUACAGUCAAAUCCACAUGCAUUCAGGUUCGAGUGUGUCAGUGAUGAAGGUGAAUCCCAGCUAAUGCCAACAAGAAUGCUGCUUCCACUUGAGAAAAGCAAAUUGCUCUUCUGGAUAGAACUGGAGACUCCAAAAUGCCAUUCCUGAGCUCCAAGAUGACAGGUGGAGAAAAGAACAGCAGUGCAGGCACAGUGGUGGAUUCCAGCAGCCCUGAGAGGACACGGUGGAGAGAGGAAGGAGAAGGGGGCAAUCUGACUAUCGUCAGUAGAGAUCCACAAACACUCUUCUACGGCUUGCUCUGGAGCAAGCGUUCUGUGCAGGCACGAAUUGGGUGCCCCCAGAGUGACCUGAGCUCUUCAGGAGGCCACCAAGGGUGGAAGAGGGAGUAAAGGCCAAAUUAGUGGCCACUUUUAGCAGUGAGACUUUGCAGCCCAGAUGAGGGGCAGUGCCGGAUGAGCCAUCUGAACCUGUUGCACCCACAAGGUACCUGUCUCUGUGGAGGUCUUGCCUCACUUUCCUGCUCAAUUUAAAGCCAGUCUAGUUAUCCAUCCCUGCAUGGGGCCUCAGAUCACAAUCUCUUUCUGAGUCGUUCCUUCCACGGUCAGGCGUGUUCGUGGCCCAUAGCACUGCCAGGCCAGCAAGUUUAUACAUACACAUCCUGAGAUGUGCUGCUGCUUAAACAAGGUUAGCCAGAGCCUCGUUACUAAGAUUUACACUGUCAGUUACAGAGAUGCCCAUCCAAUCCUGUAACACAUAAAUUUAUGGGCAUCACAGAGAAUUUUUUAUUGUUAGAGCUCAUAUACAAUGUGUGCCCUUAGUGACACAUUUUUAAAUAAAAUAUAUUGUACUAGUGAUUUCUAAUGCUUAAAAUAAAAUAAAAUAAUAAUCAACUUUUAGCUACAGUUUCCCCCUGGUUACUGAGCUGAACUUAAUGACUGGCUGAAAAGUAUUUGUCAACACAACAGCUGGAGAGCAACACUUUCUUGUGGCUUUAUGUCACAGCAUAUGCCAGCCACUCAGAACAUGCGAUAAUUCAACUGGAGCUGGUACUACAAUAGCAGAUGGGUUGAAGCAUUGUUAUUCUCACUCUAGCUCCCAGCCCUUGAGGGAUCACUAAAUAAAAUCAAAGCAGAUGGACCAUUACAAGCUCAUUUGUGUUCACUACAAGCACCUCAACCUCCAGUUGUGAUAUACUGCACCUUUGUAUAAAAUGACAUGUAUGGUAACAUGGCCUAAUGAAAAUAGCAUCAGACUUGGCAAGUGAGGAAUGAGACUGGGAAAUAUGCACAGAUCUAUUUAUCACUGAGUUCUUACCUUGUAGAAAGGGUCCAAUUCUGUCCCUCUCUCCCCACCCCCCCCGCCCCCAAUGUUUAGCGUAGUACUUUUCUCCAUGUUUAUAAUUUAAUUUCCUCACACUUGUCACAAGAACUAAGAGGCGGCUGCUGGUUCUGGCUGUAGGAGCCAAGCAGGGCUCCCAGUCUGUGCAAAGACAAGAUGAAUGCUACUAACCAAGAGUGCAAAACUCAUUCCUGCACACCCCUGAUGAGUAUGCUAAUCCAGGUGGCCCGCAGGGGUCAAAGCUUUAGCACCUACUGGUACCUUUUUGCACCUGCAGGGACCAGGGCACCGUGUACAUUUCUCAGCCUGCUCUUGCCAUGAGGUGUUCCACAACUCUGCACUUUUGAGUUUAUGGGGGACUUGGGGCAUAGAAUCAACUGCUCCACUAAAUUCCAACAUUUUUGUCUGUGAGAUCCCAGUCAGCACUUCUGAGCGAAUUCCCAGGGCAUGGGAAGCACUUGCUUCCCCAGGAUGAAAGAUAUUUAAACUGUCAGUUUCCAGAGGAGGAUCCUUUGGGGUCUGCUGACAAAGUCAGAGUUUAAACUGAAAAAUUCUUCUUGCUAUCCUCAGCAGCCCAACAUAAAAUCAAAGGCACAUCCAGUGCCUGCUUAAAAAAUAUCUUCUGAGCACCUUGUACAGCAAUGCACCAACGAUGUCACCUGAAGGCUUUGUCCUACGGUUCCCACCCUGACCAUCCUGCUCCAGGGAGCUCCAGCAAGAUGAAAUACAGCAGGAAAGGUCUUGCUUCCCUUUAUGACAACUGUGCUUCUCAACCACACAGACACAAACACACAAACACACACACGUGUGUGUGCAGUUAGUGACAACUCCCAAACUGAACUCCUCUCAAAUGUGAGCUUUUUAUAUUUGUAUGUAUCUUUUCUUUCUGCCCAGUUUUAAACAGCUUCUGUGCCCUACUGCACAAACAGCUUCAUUCAGUGCUAAAUAGAAUAUACUGUGAACUUAUUCAAGGCUUUGAGAGUUCUAAUUUUUCCUGUAUAAACAGGAAAAGUGGGAGUACACAGUGUUUGGGGAGAGUUAAAUACUUUUGUUUCUGUCUGCAGGCAAGACCCAUAUAAGACUAUGAGCUUUUAAUAAAUCUCCAUGGGUCACCUGACUGCCACAGGUCCCCUCAUCCAGCUCCUGCUGGGCUUUAAAGAGCCAGAGAGGUCCAGCAGUGGAAAGCCAAAGAAAUCACUUCACUGGGGUUGAUAAAUACAGUUAAACUUCAGUGACUGCAAUAUGCAGUUGAAAAACUUGUCCAGCUUUUUCUGUGAAACAACCUCUUCCUGAAUGUCUGAAUUGUAUAAAAUGAUGAAUGGAUCAGAUAGUGUUUCUCACCUUACCCAGAAACUGCAGGGCAGCUGGACAGUGUCAAGGACAGUGCUUCCAGGGAGCAUACUGCGUGCAGCUCGUGGCCAUGUCCUGCUUUGUUUGCUCUUCCUGAGCACUUUCUGCUCAGUGUAGUGACUCAUCCAGAACUGCAAAUCAGUGAAACUCCGUCAGAGGCAUGUGCAGGUCAGGUCAGGCAUCAGCAGUGCCCCUUAUCUGCUGGCCAGCUUUCCUAUCAGCCAAACUAAUUUGCUAAGAUAAUUCUGUUUUCUGCCACCUAUUACAAUAAAUCAACCACUGUAGCUUCAUUGAAUUCUCUGCCAACUGCUGCCCUUGAAAUUCUCAGACUGUAUGGGGGGCUGGGAGGGAAAUCUGUACUCUUCUAAAUAUAAGAAAGUUUUAGAUAAACAACUUGAUAUUCUGGGCAAUGCUGUACUUCCUCAGCCCCACAUUAAUGGUGUGCCAGAGUCAGCAUAGACUGAGGCAAACCCCAAUGCAUCAAUCAUUCCUUUGAAAACAAGUUUUUUGAAUAAUCUGAUCUCGGGUGGUAAAGCACAAACACGGCAAGUGGCACAGAGAGACAGAGAACACGAGCACACAUUCAGGAAAGAGCCAGAGGAAAAUGACUAGGGAUUCACCAUUGAAGAAAGAAGUAAAGGUGUUUCAAUGAAACGGUAAGUCUCUGACAAUUAAUUUUGAAGAGAAAAAAAAUAUUGAGGAUAGGUGGGAAUUGAAGGAACAUGAAGCAUCCCCAAGCAUGCCUAUUACAGCAACAAGACUUCAGGGGGAAAACUGUAUUCUGCUUUUCCUUAUAGCAAUAUCAAAUACUGAG
Corvus hawaiiensis (hawaiian crow) is the source of this 4414-nucleotide long non-coding RNA. RefSeq lists it as uncharacterized. The record is from RefSeq and is a predicted model, not a curated record. The transcript is spliced from 5 exons. Lineage: Eukaryota; Metazoa; Chordata; Aves; Passeriformes; Corvidae.